Molecule: ribosomal RNA, 581 nt
Filed under: uncultured bacterium
Lineage: Bacteria
Description: partial 16S ribosomal RNA
Rfam family: Bacterial small subunit ribosomal RNA
Source: RNAcentral
CUAAGAAUAUUCCGCAAUGGACGGAAGUCUGACGGAGCGACGCCGCGUGGAUGACGAAGGCCGAAAGGUUGUAAAGUUCUUUUGCUGGGGAAGAAUAACCGCAGGAGGGAAUGCCUGUGGGAUGACAAGAACCGGCGAAUAAGCCCCGGCCAACUACGUGCCAGCAGCCGCGGUAACACGUAGGGGGCGAGCGUUGUUCGGAAUUACUGGGCGUAAAGGGCAUGUAGGCGGCUUGGAAAGCCUGGCGUGAAAGUCUGCAGCUUAACUGCAGGGGUGCGCUGGGAACUGCUGAGCUUGAGUGACGGAGAGGGAGCUGGAAUUCCUGGUGUAGGGGUGAAAUCUGUAGAUAUCAGGAAGAACACCGAUGGCGAAGGCAAGCUCCUGGCCGAUGACUGACGCUGAGGUGCGAAAGUGUGGGGAUCAAACAGGAUUAGAUACCCUGGUAGUCCACACAGUCAACGAUGUGCACUAGGUGCUGGGGCGGUAGCUUCGGUGCCGGAGCGAACGUGGUAAGUGCACCGCCUGGGGAGUAUGCUCGCAAGGGUGAAACUCAAUGAAUUGACGGGGUCAUAGCUGUUUCC